This 1537-nucleotide long non-coding RNA is filed under the name Oryza sativa Indica Group (long-grained rice). RNAcentral's name for it is "lncRNA OsZS97_12G011170". Lineage: Eukaryota; Viridiplantae; Streptophyta; Magnoliopsida; Poales; Poaceae. The record is from RNAcentral.
GUCAUGCUUUGAAUUAUGGGAGCUCUCAGUUCAUGCAAAUGCCAUUACAUUGUACAGAAAAAAGGAUGGCACAGAGGCAGAAUCAAAUGAAGACUAUAGGAUGUUAUUCAGAUUAUCACAGGAGGGAGGCAUCACCUAUACAAAUUUAAUCCAGCAAGUCUCUGUCUCACCUAAUGCAAUUCUUCCUAGUGCUGAGGUGGCAGGUGGUCUUCCUCUGCUCCAAAACACUUAUGGCAGUUUCAUGCAGCUAUUGCAAGCUCCUAUUGAAUCAGAGAGUGCUCUAUAUUUGACAUCCAAUAGAUUUGAGUAUGACAACACCUUUUGGGGUUUUGAUCCUCACAAUGGUUAUCAACAAAAUGACCUGCAAAAUGCACAAACAGACACCUCUCAGAUGUGCAACUCUUUGCCACAAAGUGUAGCUGUACAUCCUCCUAUGGCAUCACUGGACAUGCUAUAUGAUGAAAUGCAUAAAUCAAGCGCUGAUGUUGAUAAUCAAGCUGAGAUGUGCAGGCCAACAGUACAAUUGAAAGCAUCAUCUGUAGAAUUACAUUUCAGCAAGAUAGAACAAGAUAAAAGUGCAGAAAAUCCAGAUCAAAAUUUUAGUGAGGAAGAUAUAAACAUAUUUCUGGAGAAUGAAAGUGUAGCAGUUGUUCAGAGAGGUGGUCAGGAUGCUAAAAGUGCACAUGUGCCGUCAAUCAACAAAGUUUUUGCUGAUGAAAAUGAAGCUUUUGACUUCUACAAUGGUUAUGCUUAUAUGGUUGGUUUCUCUACAUGCAAAGCUAGCAAUUACCAUAGCAGAAAAACCGAUGUUGUGACAAGGCACACGUUCAAAUGCAACAGUGAUCCAAAGGAGAAGGACCUGCCUGAGUUUGAUGAAGUUGAGAAUUGUUUGCAAACAAACACAACAAAUCCAUUGGUAAAAAAGAGAAAACAGAAUAAAGUGGUUUACACAAAUUGCAAAGCUAAGAUGAGCACAAUCAUCCACUAUCUCCACCAGAAGAAAGAAAUUCCUAAGGUCCCACAAACAUAUGACAGACCAGGAGAAACUUUUGAUAAGAACUCUAAACAAAAUCAAUGUGCCCACAAGGAUGAUUAUCUUAUGUGGGUCACUAGAAAGAGAUGGGCACCAGUUUACUUCAAAAGCAAUUGGUGCCCUUUGAUUCAGACAACAGCAAGGAGUGAGGGGACAAAUUCAAGGUACAAAGCUGACAUUUGUUCAUCUCAUAGUGUUUCUGCAUUCCUAGCACAGUAUGAAAGGAUUGCAGAAACAAUUUAUGAGUGCUUCAAAGAACAGGAAUCGCUGACUAGGAAUACUGUUCUAGAUACUUGGUCAGAAUAUCAAUUUGAGAAGCAAGCUGCAAAAUUUGACAAGAUUGAAGAUGGGUUGAAGGCAAUGAGUGAUACGGCUCCUAACGAGGCUACUGUUCAUGUUCAGGAUGCGGCGGCGACAACUUGUGGUGUAGCUUCUGUUGGUGCUCAAACUGGUAUAUUGAUGGGUCCUAGUGGUGUUGGUAUUGAUGCUGAGAGCACAAACUGA